GACGAACGCUGGCGGCGUGCUUAACACAUGCAAGUCGAACGAUAAGGUCCCGCUAUUGCGCGGCGCGCGGGUGGCGAACUGGUGUGUAACCCGUCGGUAACCUGCCACGUACUUAGGGAUAAUUUCACAUAACUGUGGCUUAUACCGACUAGGAUUACUUGCUGCUUACACUGGGUGGGCAAGUUUUGGCGGUUUGGGAUGGAUUCGCGCAAUAUCAGCUUGUUGGUGGGGUAGUGGGUUAGCAAGGCUUUGACGGGUAGCCGGCCUGAGCGGGUGACCGGCCACAUUGGGACUGAGAUGCGGCCCAGACUACUACGGGAGGCAGCAGAGGGGAAUAUAGCACAAUGGGAGGAAGCCUGAUGCAGCAACGCCGCGUGCGGGAUGACGGCCUUCGGGUUGUAAAGCGAUUUCGCCUGUGACGAAGCGUGAGUGACGGUAAUGGGUAAAGAAGCCCCGGCUAACUACGUG
This 468-nucleotide ribosomal RNA is filed under the name uncultured bacterium. RNAcentral describes it as "partial 16S ribosomal RNA". It matches the Rfam family "Bacterial small subunit ribosomal RNA", at positions 28 to 507 of the family's 1533-position model. The record is from RNAcentral.